RNAcentral lists this ribosomal RNA (628 nucleotides) under Acinetobacter calcoaceticus. Its description in RNAcentral is "bacterial SSU rRNA". It matches the Rfam family "Bacterial small subunit ribosomal RNA", at positions 61 to 684 of the family's 1533-position model. The record is from RNAcentral. Lineage: Bacteria; Pseudomonadati; Pseudomonadota; Gammaproteobacteria; Moraxellales; Moraxellaceae.
GUCGAGCGGAGUGAUGGUGCUUGCACUAUCACUUAGCGGCGGAGGGUGAGUAAUGCUUAGGAAUCUGCCUAUUAGUGGGGGACAACAUUUCGAAAGGAAUGCUAAUACCGCAUACGUCCUACGGGAGAAAGCAGGGGAUCUUCGGACCUUGCGCUAAUAGAUGAGCCUAAGUCGGAUUAGCUAGUUGGUGGGGUAAAGGCCUACCAAGGCGACGAUCUGUAGCGGGUCUGAGAGGAUGAUCCGCCACACUGGGACUGAGACACGGCCCAGACUCCUACGGGAGGCAGCAGUGGGGAAUAUUGGACAAUGGGCGCAAGCCUGAUCCAGCCAUGCCGCGUGUGUGAAGAAGGCCUUAUGGUUGUAAAGCACUUUAAGCGAGGAGGAGGCUACUGAAGUUAAUACCUUCAGAUAGUGGACGUUACUCGCAGAAUAAGCACCGGCUAACUCUGUGCCAGCAGCCGCGGUAAUACAGAGGGUGCAAGCGUUAAUCGGAUUUACUGGGCGUAAAGCGCGCGUAGGCGGCUAAUUAAGUCAAAUGUGAAAUCCCCGAGCUUAACUUGGGAAUUGCAUUCGAUACUGGUUAGCUAGAGUGUGGGAGAGGAUGGUAGAAUUCCAGGUGUAGCGGUGA